CGUAGGGGUGAACCUGCGGAGGGAUCAUUACAGAGUUGCAAAACUCCCUAAACCAUUGUGAACGUUACCUAUACCGUUGCUUCGGCGGGCGGCCCCGGGGUUUACCCCCCGGGCGCCCCUGGGCCCCACCGCGGGCGCCCGCCGGAGGUCACCAAACUCUUGAUAAUUUAUGGCCUCUCUGAGUCUUCUGUACUGAAUAAGUCAAAACUUUCAACAACGGAUCUCUUGGUUCUGGCAUCGAUGAAGAACGCAGCGAAAUGCGAUAAGUAAUGUGAAUUGCAGAAUUCAGUGAAUCAUCGAAUCUUUGAACGCACAUUGCGCCCGCCAGCAUUCUGGCGGGCAUGCCUGUUCGAGCGUCAUUUCAACCAUCAAGCCCCCGGGCUUGUGUUGGGGACCUGCGGCUGCCGCAGGCCCUGAAAAGCAGUGGCGGGCUCGCUGUCGCACCGAGCGUAGUAGCAUACAUCUCGCUCUGGUCGCGCCGCGGGUUCCGGCCGUUAAACCACCUUUUAACCCAAGGUUGACCUCGGAUCAGGUAGGAAGACCCGCUGAACUUAAGCAUAUCAAUAAGGCGGAGGA
RNAcentral lists this ribosomal RNA (576 nucleotides) under Chaetomium sp. BAB-5553. RNAcentral's name for it is "eukaryotic LSU rRNA". The stretch from base 206 to 359 matches the Rfam family "5.8S ribosomal RNA". Lineage: Eukaryota; Fungi; Ascomycota; Sordariomycetes; Sordariales; Chaetomiaceae. The record is from RNAcentral.